UACGAAGGGUGCAAGCGUCACUCGGAAUUACUGGGCGUAAAGCGUGCGUAGGUGGUUCGUUAAGUCUGAUGUGAAAGCCCUGGGCUCAACCUGGGAAUGGCAUUGGAAACUGGCGACCUAGAGUGCGGUAGAGGGUAGUGGAAUUCCCGGUGUAGCAGUGAAAUGCGUAGAGAUCGGGAGGAACAUCCGUGGCGAAGGCGACUACCUGGACCAGCACUGACACUGAGGCACGAAAGCGUGGGGAGCAAACAGG
Molecule: ribosomal RNA, 253 nt
Filed under: uncultured bacterium
Lineage: Bacteria
Description: partial 16S ribosomal RNA
Rfam family: Bacterial small subunit ribosomal RNA
Source: RNAcentral